UCGGUUGGCCCAAAUCCUUUGGGAUAAGGUAUCAUGGAGGGUGAGAAUCCCGUUCGGUUGACCUCAUGACGCUCUACGAUACGCUCUCUAAGAGUCGAGUUGUUUGGGAUUGCAGCUCAAAAUGGGAGGUAAAUUUCUCCUAAGGCUAAAUAUCGGCGAGAGACCGAUAGCGAACAAGUACCGUGAGGGAAAGAUGAAAAGAACUUUGAAAAGAGAGUAAAAUAGUACGUGAAAUUGUUGAAAGGGAAACGAUUGAAGUCAGUCGUACCGACGAGAAAUCAGCUUAUCGUGUGCGAACUUGUGGGCGUGCGUGAGUUUCGGCCUCGCUGUUUGCAUGUUUGUGCGCUUUCGGUGUACUUUUUCGUAUGGUAGGCCAACGUCAGUUUCGAUCACUAUAAAAUGACCGGCGGAAUGUAGCUUCGAUUUCGGUUGAAGUGUUAUAGCCUCCGGUAGAUGUGGUGAUCGGGACUGAGGAUUGCAACGAAUACCCUUUGGGCUAUCCGUCUGGCCUCUGAAAGUUGCUUAGGUGCCGAAAGCUUGCUUACGGUCAUCGAAGUUGACGGUCAAUAGGUUAGAACGCGAUUACAUUCGUUAAGGACGUUGGCGUAAUGGCUUUAAACGACCCGUCUUGAAACACGGACCAAGGAGUCUAACAUAUAUGCGAGUGUUCGGGUGUAUAAACCCUUACGCGUAAUGAAAGUAAUUUAGGUGGGAUCACUCUUUUGUGUGCACCAUCGACC
This 740-nucleotide ribosomal RNA is filed under the name uncultured Glomeromycotina. RNAcentral describes it as "eukaryotic LSU rRNA". It matches the Rfam family "Eukaryotic large subunit ribosomal RNA", at positions 173 to 766 of the family's 3401-position model. The record is from RNAcentral. Lineage: Eukaryota; Fungi; Glomeromycota.